GUAGUAAUACAUGUAGCUGACUGUUACUAAUAGAUCGAAGGCUUAACCAAGAA
This 53-nucleotide ribosomal RNA is filed under the name Pseudobutyrivibrio sp. RNAcentral describes it as "partial 23S ribosomal RNA". The record is from RNAcentral. Lineage: Bacteria; Bacillati; Bacillota; Clostridia; Lachnospirales; Lachnospiraceae.